This 20-nucleotide unclassified non-coding RNA is filed under the name Chlamydomonas reinhardtii. Its description in RNAcentral is "small RNA Cre_2191". Lineage: Eukaryota; Viridiplantae; Chlorophyta; Chlorophyceae; Chlamydomonadales; Chlamydomonadaceae. The record is from RNAcentral.
UACCCAAUCCUGAAAAGCGA